CACAGUUCGGGGAAGCGGCUGGAGUGGACGAUCUGAGUGACGGGCUACCUGGUGGGGGUGGGGGUCCCUUUCCUGGACAGGCCAGGCAAAGGGCCAGAGGGCAGGGGCUCAAAGUCCAGGCCGGGGCGUGGGUCCGGGACCUUUCUGCUGGGCUGAGUCGGCUUCCCGGGGGCGCUGGGGGGGGCAGCCCUGGGUCCCGCUCGUGCUGCACGGCCAGGGACAGCACCCAGCACUGGGCAGGAACAUGCAGCUGCUGACCAGUGCAGACGGGCCCACGGCCGGACAGCCCCAGGGCCACGAGGAGGAGGAGGAGCUGCCCAGGACAGCCGGGAGCGGGGACAAGGGCAGAACCCCUCGAGGAACCUUCCGGUCCUGGCUGUCCCUGAGCCGUCUCACCCUGGGCUGGGAGACACACCAUGACCUGACCAUGACCAUGACCGCGAUGAGACCUUCACUCCUGCAGCUUCAGAAGAGAUGAGGGAUGGCCACAGGCAAAUGUGGCCCCUUCGAAUGCCGCAUCUCACUCACACCUGCUGAUGCCCGUGCUCCCCAUCCAACGAGACUCUUCCCCGGUUACACGCUUCCUCAGCCUCAUCACCUAAUAGCCCGGUGACACGGCGACAUUUUCUCUAAUACUGUGCUUAUAACAACAAGGCUUAUAAUCUAGGUUUAAAAAGCAAGUUAUAAAAGUCAGCCUGGGCUUAAUGGGGAUGCUGAGGGCUCUGGCUUGAAACCGUGAGUGCUUACUAAGUGCCGAGGAGAGGGGCUGCCUUCAGACCUCUCCACACCCCACACAGCCGUGUUCUCCGGGACAGAGACUGGAGCAAGAGCCGGCGCCGUGGGUGGGACUCGCGCCCGUCCUCGGGGAGACGGGCCCAGCGCUCUGCACCUGCUGUUUAGACGGAAGCUAACUGGGCCCCUUGACUGGACGGUGGCUCCUGUGAGCCGAGGCAGCCACGUCUUCUUGGGUCAGCUGGUGCGGGGGGUGGGGGCACUCGCCCUGCACCUGUCUGACACAGGAGGCCCCACACCCACCAGGGAUGAGCCCAGAGCACCUUUAGGGGUGCCCCCGCAAGGCGAGAACUGCCUUUCUGUGCCUCCCUGUGGCGGGAACCGUGCGGAAAGGGACCUGCCUGCUCUCUCCCUUGUUUCUACUGAGUCACGUGAGACACACAGUUACAAAGUUGCUCACGACUGGGCUUCAGUCACAUAAAAUAAAUGAAUCAGUGAUGUCUGGUGG
Sorex araneus (European shrew) is the source of this 1240-nucleotide long non-coding RNA. RefSeq lists it as uncharacterized. The record is from RefSeq and is a predicted model, not a curated record. The transcript has 2 exons. NCBI's taxonomy places the organism in Eukaryota, Metazoa, Chordata, Mammalia, Eulipotyphla, Soricidae.